UCCUGACCUUUCUAUUAGUUAUUAAUAAAAUUACACAUGCAAGAGUCCUCGUCCCUGUGAAAAUGCCCUCUACACCAUUAUCUUAUUGGUAUAAAGGAGCUGGUAUCAAGCACGCUAAAAAGUAGCUCACAACACCUUGCUCAGCCACACCCCCACGGGAAACAGCAGUGACAAAAAUUAAGCAAUAGACGAAAGUCUGACUAAGUUAUAUUACUAAGGACUGGUAAAUUUCGUGCCAGCCACCGCGGUCAUACGAUUGGGCCAAAUUAAUAGACGUUCGGCGUAAAGAGUGUACUAGAGAUCACGUUAAUUAAUAAAGUUAAGCUAUAUCUAAGCUGUAAAAAGCCCUAGCUAAUGCAAAACAAAUAACGAAAGUAACUUUAAAAGUCUGACUACACGAUAGCUAAGACCCAAACUGGGAUUAGAUACCCCACUAUGCUUAGCCCUAAACACAGAGAGUUAUAAACAAAAUUAUUCGCCAGAGUACUACCAGCAAAAGCUGAAAACUCAAAGGACUUGGCGGUGCCUUAAACCCUUCUAGAGGAGCCUGUCCUAUAAUCGAUAAACCCCGAUAUACCUUACCAACCCUUGCCAAAUCAGCCUAUAUACCGCCAUCUUCAGCAAACCCUAAGAGGGAAUAAUAGUAAGCAUAAGUAUUAACAUAAAAACGUUAGGUCAAGGUGUAGCCUAUGGGUUGGAAAGAGAUGGGCUACAUUCCUCAAGUAGAGGUAAUAUUUUACGAAAACCCAUGUGAAAUCAACAGUUAAAGGAGGAUUUAGCAGUAAAUUAAGAAUAGAGUGCUUAGUUGAAUUAGGCCAUGAGGCACGCACACACCGCCCGUCACCCUCCUCAAGUGAAAACAUGAAAUGCUAUAUAAACAUAAAUUGUUAACCCGCAAGAGGAGAUAA
This 908-nucleotide non-coding RNA is filed under the name Cnephaeus hottentotus (long-tailed house bat). RNAcentral describes it as "partial 12S ribosomal RNA". It matches the Rfam family "Bacterial small subunit ribosomal RNA", at positions 168 to 1484 of the family's 1533-position model. The record is from RNAcentral. Lineage: Eukaryota; Metazoa; Chordata; Mammalia; Chiroptera; Vespertilionidae.